This 199-nucleotide long non-coding RNA is filed under the name Lathyrus oleraceus (garden pea). Its description in RNAcentral is "Pisum sativum (pea) long non-coding RNA (PSAT_LNC026189)". Lineage: Eukaryota; Viridiplantae; Streptophyta; Magnoliopsida; Fabales; Fabaceae. The record is from RNAcentral.
CCAAUCCAGGCCAACGUGGUGUGAGCAAAAGCCCCGACUUAAUGCAUAUGAAUGUAUAUGGCAUGUACGACUUGAAGUUCCACAACAUAAUAACAACGACAACAUAACAGCUUUUUCAGCAACAACAACUUAAAAAUCAACUUUGGCUCAUCAGCCUACAACUCAGCAUUUUCAACAAAACAACUUAUAUUCAACUUUG